GGUGGAGCGAUUUGUCUGGUUUAUUCCGAUAACGAACGAGACUCUGGCCUACUAAAUAGACUGUACUUCUUCGGAGUGCAGAACUUCUUAGAGGGACAAGCGACGUCUAGUCGCACGAGAUUGAGCAAUAACAGGUCUGUGAUGCCCUUAGAUGUCCGGGGCUGCACGCGCGCUACACUGAAGGCAGCAUCGUGUCUAUCAACCUACCCCGGGAAGGGGCGGGUAACCCGAUGAAACGCCUUCGUGAUUGGGAUAGGGAAUUGCAAUUAUUUCCCUUGAACGAGGAAUUCCCAGUAAGUGCGGGUCAUCAGCUCGCGCUGAAUACGUCCCUGCCCUUUGUAC
This 342-nucleotide ribosomal RNA is filed under the name Nematoda environmental sample. RNAcentral describes it as "SSU rRNA". It matches the Rfam family "Eukaryotic small subunit ribosomal RNA", at positions 1300 to 1665 of the family's 1831-position model. Lineage: Eukaryota; Metazoa; Nematoda. The record is from RNAcentral.